Molecule: ribosomal RNA, 490 nt
Filed under: uncultured bacterium
Lineage: Bacteria
Description: partial 16S ribosomal RNA
Rfam family: Bacterial small subunit ribosomal RNA
Source: RNAcentral
AUUGAACGCUGGCGGCAUGCUUUACACAUGCAAGUCGGACGGCAGCACAGAGACGCUUGCUUCUUGGGUGGCGAGUGGCGAACGGGGGAGUAAUAUAUCGGAACGUACCGAGUAAUGGGGGAUAACUAAUCGAAAGAUUAGCUAAUACCGCAUAUUCUCUGAGGAGGAAAGCAGGGGACCUUCGGGCCUUGCGUUAUUCGAGCGGCCGAUAUCUGAUUAGCUAGUUGGUGGGGUAAAGGCCUACCAAGGCGACGAUCAGUAGCGGGUCUGAGAGGAUGAUCCGCCACACUGGGACUGAGACACGGCCCAGACUCCUACGGGAGGCAGCAGUGGGGAAUUUUGGACAAUGGGCGCAAGCCUGAUCCAGCCAUGCCGCGUGUCUGAAGAAGGCCUUCGGGUUGUAAAGGACUUUUGUCAGGGAAGAAAAGGCUGUUGCUAAUACCGACAGCUGAUGACGGUACCUGAAGAAUAAGCACCGGCUAACUACGUG